RNAcentral lists this ribosomal RNA (723 nucleotides) under uncultured archaeon. RNAcentral's name for it is "bacterial SSU rRNA". It matches the Rfam family "Archaeal small subunit ribosomal RNA", at positions 455 to 1179 of the family's 1478-position model. The record is from RNAcentral.
GUGCCAGCCGCCGCGGUAAUACCUGCAGCUCAAGUGGUGGCCACUAUUAUUGGGCCUAAAACGUCCGUAGCCGGUUUAAUAAAUGCCGGGGUAAAUCGUGUAGCUUAACUAUACGAAUUCCGGGUAGACUGUUAGACUUGAGACCGGGAGAGGCUAGAGGUACUCCUGGGGUAGAGGUGAAAUUCUGUAAUCCUAGGGGGACCACCAGUGGCGAAGGCGUCUAGCUAGAACGGGUCUGACGGUGAGGGACGAAGCCCUGGGGCGCAAACCGGAUUAGAUACCCGGGUAGUCCAGGGUGUAAACGCUGCUUGCUUGAUGUUAGUUGGGCUCCGAGCCCAAUUAGUGUCGGAGAGAAGUUGUUAAGCAAGCUGCCUGGGAAGUACGGCCGCAAGACUGAAACUUAAAGGAAUUGGCGGGGGAGCACAGCAACGGGUGGAGCGUGCGGUUUAAUUGGAUUCAACGCCGGAAAUCUCACCGGAGGCGACGGUUACAUGAAGGCCAGGCUGAUGACUUUGCCUGAUUUUCCGAGAGGUGGUGCAUGGCCGCCGUCAGUUCGUACCGUAAGGCGUUCUGUUAAGUCAGACAACGAACGAGACCCUCAUCUUUGGUUGCUACUGGUAAGUCCGCUUAUCAGGCACACUANAGAAACCGCUGGCGAUAAGUCAGAGGAAGGUGAGGGCAACGGUAGGUCAGUAUGCCCUGAAUCCUCCGGGCUACACGCGC